UGGCCUAUAGCUUAACGGCAGAGCGAUUGGUUGUUACCCAAUUAGGUGUAGGUUCGAAUCCUACUAGGUCAGC
Molecule: transfer RNA, 73 nt
Filed under: Streptomyces phage Braelyn
Lineage: Duplodnaviria; Heunggongvirae; Uroviricota; Caudoviricetes; Stanwilliamsviridae
Also listed under: 4 other names
Description: tRNA-Asn
Rfam family: tRNA
About the family: Transfer RNA (tRNA) molecules are approximately 80 nucleotides in length.
Source: RNAcentral